RNAcentral lists this unclassified non-coding RNA (349 nucleotides) under soil metagenome. RNAcentral describes it as "partial contains 5.8S ribosomal RNA, internal transcribed spacer 2, and large subunit ribosomal RNA". The stretch from base 1 to 120 matches the Rfam family "5.8S ribosomal RNA", at positions 35 to 154 of the family's 154-position model. The record is from RNAcentral.
GAUGAAGAACGUAGCGAACUGCGAUAAGUAAUGUGAAUUGCAGAAUUCAGUGAAUCAUCGAGUCUUUGAACGCACAUUGCGCCCCCUGGCAUUCCGGGGGGCAUGCCUGUCCGAGCGUCAUUGCUGCCCUUCAAGCCCGGCUUGUGUGUUGGGUCGUCGUCCCCCCCGGGGGACGGGCCCGAAAGGCAGCGGCGGCACCGCGUCCGGUCCUCGAGCGUAUGGGGCUUUGUCACCCGCUCGAUUAGGGCCGGCCGGGCGCCAGCCGGCGUCUUCAACCUUCUAUUUUACCAGGUUGACCUCGGAUCAGGUAGGGAUACCCGCUGAACUUAAGCAUAUCAAUAAGCGAGGA